GGUUUAGCAUGAAAGCAACAUUUUUUUUUUUUUGCUGCACAGUCCUGCUGCACCCAGGUUGACCUCGCGGCGCACUUUACUCUUCCUCUCUGCCAGCCCACUUGUGCUGCUCAACUCACCAAGGUGGCUGUUGCUAUGUUAUUUUAUGUUUAAUCAACAACAACACACUUGCAUACAUGACGUCUCUAUGAAAAUAAGCUUUUGCAUGGCUAAAGAUACCUACUACCCUCACAGAACUUGAGACACAGGAAACAAGGUGAGAAUGCUGUCAAAGUACGGUGAAGUCCCUGGAACUUUGUGACCAUGGCAACAGGCACAAGACAACUAGUUGGGCGCCAAGGAAGAUUACGAAGCGAGGGUGAGGCACUCUGUGGAGAGUCAGCGUGAUACGGCAGACUCUCCGGCUAAAUCAAAUUGAUGGAGCCCAGCUAAGGGCAGAAUUACAUUAUAAUCAGCAGAAAAACAGCUUUGGAUAAGGAGGGGUUUACAGUAUUCCAGGACUGCAGGUGGCCUCUGACCUCACAAACCCCAGAAGAUGGAGACAGAAGGUUUGUUUGCUGGGGAGCAACGGCCAGUGGGCAGGAGUGCGGGGGUAUCAGCAUCGCUUUGAGGUGGACAAUCUGGA
Long non-coding RNA from Brienomyrus brachyistius, 625 nucleotides. RefSeq lists it as uncharacterized. Lineage: Eukaryota; Metazoa; Chordata; Actinopteri; Osteoglossiformes; Mormyridae. The transcript has 3 exons. The record is from RefSeq and is a predicted model, not a curated record.